RNAcentral lists this ribosomal RNA (378 nucleotides) under uncultured eukaryote. RNAcentral's name for it is "partial 18S ribosomal RNA". It matches the Rfam family "Eukaryotic small subunit ribosomal RNA", at positions 592 to 975 of the family's 1831-position model. The record is from RNAcentral.
CAAUAGCGUAUAUUUAAGUUGUUGCAGUUAAAAAGCUCGUAGUUGGAUUUUGGGUCGGGGGCACCGGUCCGCCGUUCCGGUGUGCACUGGUGGCCCCUUCCUUUCUGCCGGGGACGUGCGUCGCACUUAAUUGGGUGGCGUUCGGAGUCGGCGCUGUUACUUUGAAAAAAUUAGAGUGUUCAAAGCAAGCCAUCGCUCUGAAUACAUUAGCAUGGAAUAACAUGAUAGGACUCCGGUCUUAUUUUGUUGGUUUCCGAGACUGGAGUAAUGAUUAAGAGGGACAGUCGGGGGCAUCCGUAUUUCAUUGUCAGAGGUGAAAUUCUUGGAUUUAUGAAAGACGAACUUCUGCGAAAGCAUUUGCCAAGGAUGUUUNCAUUA